AGAGUUUGAUCCUGGCUCAGAUUGAACGCUGGCGGCAUGCCUAACACAUGCAAGUCGAACGUGAAAGCACCUUCGGGUGUUAGUAGAGUGGUGGAUGGGUGAGUAAUGCUUGGGAAUCUGCCUAGUAGUGGGGGAUAACUCGGGAAACUCGAGUUAAUACCGCAUAUGUCUUAUGGGGGAAAGAUUUAUCGCUAUUAGAUGAGCCCAAGUCAGAUUAGCUAGUUGGUAGGGUAAUGGCCUACCAAGGUGAUGAUCUGUAGCUGGUCUGAGAGGACGAACAGCCACACUGGGACUGAGAUAUGGCCCAGACUCCUACGGGAGGCAGCAGUGGGGAAUAUUGGACAAUGGGCGAAAGCCUGAUCCAGCAAUGCCGCGUGUGUGAAGAAGGCCUGCGGGUUGUAAAGCACUUUCAGUUGGGAAGAUUAUGAUGUUACCAACAGAAGAAGCACCGGCUAACUCUGUGCCAGCAGUUGUGGUAAUACGGAGGGUGCAAGCGUUAAUCGGAAUUACUGGGCGUAAAGCGCGCGUAGGCGGCUUGGUCAGUCAGAUGUGAAAUCCCCGGGCUUAAUUUGGGAAUUGCAUUUGAUACUGCCUGGCUAGAGUAUGGUAGAGGGAAGUGAAAUUUUAGGUGUAGUGGUGAAAUGUGUAGAUAUUUGGAGGAAUAUUAGUGGUGAAGGUGAUUUUCCUGGACCAAUACUGACGCUGAGGUGCGAAAGCGUGGGUAGUAAAUAGGAUUAGAUAUCCUGGUAGUUUACGUUGUAAACGAUGUCAACUAGCCGUCGGAUUUAUUUAAGAGCUUGGUGGCGCAGUUAAUGUGAUAAGUUGACCGCCUGGGGAGUACGGCCGCAAGGUUAAAACUCAAAGGAAUUGACGGGGGCCCGCAUAAGCGGUGGAGCAUGUGGUUUAAUUCGAUGCAAUGUGAAGAACCUUACCAGCCCUUGACAUCCUCGGAACUUUCUAGAAAUAGAUUGGUGCCUUCGGGAACCGAGUGACAGGUGCUGCAUGGCUGUCGUCAGCUCGUGUUGUGAGAUGUUGGGUUAAGUCCCGUAAUGAGCGUAUCCCUUGUCCUUAGUUGCCAGUAUUUUGGAUGGGAACUCUAAGGAGACUGCCGGUGAUAAACCGGAGGAAGGUGGGGAUGACGUCAAGUCAUUAUGGCUUUUAUGGGCUGGGCUAUACACGUGCUACAAUGGCCGGCACAGAGGGCAGCGAACCCGCGAGGGGGGGCUAAUCUCACAAAACCGGUCGUAGUCCGGAUCGCAGUCUGCAAUUUGACUGCGUGAAGUCGGAAUCGCUAGUAAUCGCAGAUUAGAAUGUUGCGGUGAGUACGUUCCCGGGCCUUGUACAUACUGCCCGUCACACCAUGGGAGUGGGUUGCAAAAGAAGUGGGUAGCUUAACCUUCGGGAGAGCGCUCACCACUUUGUGAUUCAUGACUGGGGUGAAGUUGGAACAAGGUA
RNAcentral lists this ribosomal RNA (1455 nucleotides) under metagenome. RNAcentral's name for it is "bacterial SSU rRNA". It matches the Rfam family "Bacterial small subunit ribosomal RNA". The record is from RNAcentral.